RNAcentral lists this ribosomal RNA (253 nucleotides) under uncultured bacterium. Its description in RNAcentral is "partial 16S ribosomal RNA". It matches the Rfam family "Bacterial small subunit ribosomal RNA", at positions 524 to 776 of the family's 1533-position model. The record is from RNAcentral.
UACGUAGGGGGCAAGCGUUGUCCGGAAUCAUUGGGCGUAAAGAGCGCGUAGGCGGUCCGGUAAGUCCGCUCUGAAAGUCCGGGGCUCAACCCCGGGAGGCGGGCGGAUACUGUCGGGCUAGAGUCCGGAAGAGGCGAGUGGAAUUCCUGGUGUAGCGGUGAAAUGCGCAGAUAUCAGGAGGAACGCCGGUGGCGAAAGCGACGUGCUGGACCCUUUCUGACGCUGAGGCGCGAAAGCCAGGGGAGCAAACGGG